Molecule: ribosomal RNA, 496 nt
Filed under: uncultured bacterium
Lineage: Bacteria
Description: partial 16S ribosomal RNA
Rfam family: Bacterial small subunit ribosomal RNA
Source: RNAcentral
GAUGAACGCUGGCGGCGUGCCUAAUACAUGCAAGUCGAGCGAACGGACGAGAAGCUUGCUUCUCUGAUGUUAGCGGCGGACGGGUGAGUAACACGUGGAUAACCUACCUAUAAGACUGGGAUAACUUCGGGAAACCGGAGCUAAUACCGGAUAAUAUUUUGAACCGCAUGGUUCAAAAGUGAAAGACGGUCUUGCUGUCACUUAUAGAUGGAUCCGCGCUGCAUUAGCUAGUUGGUAAGGUAACGGCUUACCAAGGCAACGAUGCAUAGCCGACCUGAGAGGGUGAUCGGCACACUGGAACUGAGACACGGUCCAGACUCCUACGGGAGGCAGCAGUAGGGAAUCUUCCGCAAUGGGCGAAAGCCUGACGGAGCAACGCCGCGUGAGUGAUGAAGGUCUUCGGAUCGUAAAACUCUGUUAUUAGGGAAGAACAUAUGUGUAAGUAACUGUGCACAUCUUGACGGUACCUAAUCAGAAAGCCACGGCUAACUACGUG